GGACUACUGGGGUAUCUAAUCCUGUUUGAUCCCCACGCUUUCGCGCCUCAGCGUCAGUUGUCGUCCAGAUAGCCGCCUUCGCCACCGGUGUUCCUGCUAAUAUCUACGAAUUUCACCUCUACAUUAGCAAUUCCGCUAUCCCCUCCGACACUCAAGCUUUACAGUUUCAAAGGCAAUUCCACGGUUGAGCCGUGGGAUUUCACCCCUGACUUGAAAAGCCGCCUACGCGCGCUUUACGCCCAGUAAUUCCGAACAACGCUAGCACCCUUCGUAUUACCGCGGCUGCUGGCAC
Molecule: ribosomal RNA, 292 nt
Filed under: uncultured bacterium
Lineage: Bacteria
Description: partial 16S ribosomal RNA
Source: RNAcentral